Long non-coding RNA from Oreochromis niloticus (Nile tilapia), 837 nucleotides. RefSeq lists it as uncharacterized. The record is from RefSeq and is a predicted model, not a curated record. Lineage: Eukaryota; Metazoa; Chordata; Actinopteri; Cichliformes; Cichlidae. The transcript is spliced from 3 exons.
ACAUCUAGAGGCUCCCCAGAGCACAAGCCCAAGGAGUACCACCGGAGGAGCAGUCAUGCCACCCACCUAGAAAAGAGCUGAGGAGAUCCGCAGACGGGGGCUCACCCAGCAGCCAUGGUGCAGAAGCAACAGGGCGGUGCUGCGACGAGCCCGCAGGCUCCGCCGGCAACCGGCUACACCAGAGCAGACCGAGCCCUGGGCUGAGAGACCCGAGAUGGAGGGCCCUCCACACCCCGGAAAGGGCCCGACUGAGCCUUGGGGGCCCGCCAAGCAGCCGCCGGUUUCGGAGACGUCUGUUCCCCACCAGCUCGAUAGCUAGCCAGGAGCUCGAGGAUUCCAUGAGAUGAACCUAGUGAACCGAGGUGCAGUAAUCUCGACGUACCUCUGUUCAGGUUUAGACACAAUGAAGCAUGCCUCAAAAACUAUUUAGCCAAUUUAUCAUAUGAACAGUGGAUGGCAUUAGCCACUGAUGACGUCACCUCGGAUGUCGUUAAUUUGCUGACCAACAUGUGCCAAGCACUCAUAGGGCACAUUAGCACCUUAGUGUUUCAAGGCAUAGAACCACAGGUUUCAUGCUGCCCACAUAUUCAUUAUCCCAGAGACAAAGAAAUCCCCCCUUACAGGUAAACAGUUUGAUUCAUUCUUAAUUUCUUCUUCUUAAAUAAUCUACAUUAGAUGAUUCAUUAGGUAAUCCUUGUGACGGAGAGGGUUUUUGUGAAAAGAUUUUGUUUAUUAUUCAAAUAUGCUUUGCUUGUGAUUGUGUAAACUCUGAAUGACGAUUCACCCUGAUAUGCUUUGCUUGUGAUUGUGUAAACUCUGAAUGACGAUUCACUCUGA